Molecule: ribosomal RNA, 543 nt
Filed under: Bifidobacterium dentium
Lineage: Bacteria; Bacillati; Actinomycetota; Actinomycetes; Bifidobacteriales; Bifidobacteriaceae
Description: bacterial SSU rRNA
Rfam family: Bacterial small subunit ribosomal RNA
Source: RNAcentral
GGGUGGUAAUGCCGGAUGCUCCGGUUGGAUGCAUGUCCUUCCGGGAAAGGUUCCAUCGGUAUGGGAUGGGGUCGCGUCCUAUCAGCUUGAUGGCGGGGUAACGGCCCACCAUGGCUUCGACGGGUAGCCGGCCUGAGAGGGCGACCGGCCACAUUGGGACUGAGAUACGGCCCAGACUCCUACGGGAGGCAGCAGUGGGGAAUAUUGCACAAUGGGCGCAAGCCUGAUGCAGCGACGCCGCGUGCGGGAUGGAGGCCUUCGGGUUGUAAACCGCUUUUGAUCGGGAGCAAGCCCUUCGGGGUGAGUGUACCUUUCGAAUAAGCACCGGCUAACUACGUGCCAGCAGCCGCGGUAAUACGUAGGGUGCAAGCGUUAUCCGGAAUUAUUGGGCGUAAAGGGCUCGUAGGCGGUUCGUCGCGUCCGGUGUGAAAGCCCAUCGCUUAACGGUGGGUCUGCGCCGGGUACGGGCGGGCUGGAGUGCGGUAGGGGAGACUGGAAUUCCCGGUGUAACGGUGGAAUGUGUAGAUAUCGGGAAAGAACACC